Molecule: non-coding RNA, 91 nt
Organism: Pelobates cultripes (western spadefoot toad)
Lineage: Eukaryota; Metazoa; Chordata; Amphibia; Anura; Pelobatidae
Source: the annotation of a GenBank genome assembly
AGGAGUGAAGGAGGAGGAGGGAGGAGCAUGUUUCUGUACCAUGCUCCCUCGCGGUUCCCAACAUGCUCCUCCCUCCUCCUCCUUCACUCCU